AUUGAACGCUGGCGGCAGGCCUAACACAUGCAAGUCGAACGGUAACAGGAAGACGCUUGCUUCUUUGCUGACGAGUGGCGGACGGGUGAGUAAUGUCUGGGAAACUGCCUGAUGGAGGGGGAUAACUACUGGAAACGGUAGCUAAUACCGCAUAACGUCGCAAGACCAAAGAGGGGGACCUUCGGGCCUCUUGCCAUCGGAUGUGCCCAGAUGGGAUUAGCUAGUAGGUGGGGUAACGGCUCACCUAGGCGACGAUCCCUAGCUGGUCUGAGAGGAUGACCAGCCACACUGGAACAGAGACACGGUCCAGACUCCUACGGGAGGCAGCAGUGGGGAAUAUUGCACAAUGGGCGCAAGCCUGAUGCAGCCAUGCCGCGUGUAUGAAGAAGGCCUUCGGGUUGUAAAGUACUUUCAGCGGGGAGGAAGGGAGUAAAGUUAAUACCUUUACUCAUUGACGUUACCCGCAGAAGAAGCACCGGCUAACUCCGUG
Molecule: ribosomal RNA, 490 nt
Filed under: uncultured bacterium
Lineage: Bacteria
Description: partial 16S ribosomal RNA
Rfam family: Bacterial small subunit ribosomal RNA
Source: RNAcentral